Pimephales promelas (fathead minnow) is the source of this 403-nucleotide non-coding RNA. NCBI's taxonomy places the organism in Eukaryota, Metazoa, Chordata, Actinopteri, Cypriniformes, Leuciscidae. The record is from RefSeq and is a predicted model, not a curated record.
AGUCCAGCACGAGAUGAAGCGCGAAAGUGCAGAGGAAUAUGCUCAAUUUGUGUUUUAAACAGGGACCAGAUGUCGCUGAUGAGUGCUGACUUCAACAUUCACAGGAGACUCUGAACAUGCACAUCAUGUUGGUCAAAGUGAGAUUUGGUGAAACUCAGAAGUAUGUUAAAGUUGCCCAAACUGAAGAGGGUUAUGAGGACUACAACACAUUUCUUCCGAAAGGUUGGCAUUAUUUCAUUACACAUCACUUACUAUAAAUGUCUUUUCCAUUUACAAUGGGACUGUAAUCUGGUUAUAUUGCCCCAGCCACCAAGUUGUUUAUUGUGUUGGGCAGUAAUCAGUUCUUUGCAAACAGUCCAAAUGUAGAAUCUAAAAUGCAGAAAAAAAAAAAAAAAAAAAAAAA